Molecule: long non-coding RNA, 578 nt
Organism: Oreochromis aureus
Lineage: Eukaryota; Metazoa; Chordata; Actinopteri; Cichliformes; Cichlidae
Source: Ensembl
GUUUUCCUAUGUGUCAGUUUAUCUAUGUCCCAGUUUAGUUUUGUUAUAUUUUUUGUGCUAGCCUGCAAUAAAGCAGUGUUUUGAGUUCACUUUUGUCUUGGAACAGUGCAGCAUCCAGCAAGUAGGAGCGUCACCUGGAGCGAUGAACCUUCACCAUGAGGAAAAACGCCGCCAAGUCACCAGACCACAUGGAGAGCAGGAGGCAGCAGCUCCAGAGAAAGCAGGAUGUGCAGCCUCAGAGAGGAGGAGGCUGCAGCUGCAAUUGUCAUGGCUGUGUGCAGGCAGGCAGGAAAAGGAUCCAAACGCAGACUCCAAAACACAGAAGAAAAACUCAAAACACUUUAUUGCUGGCAACAACAAAACAGAGACCUAAACCUAAAACAGGACAGAAAACACAAUUUCCCGGAGCUGUGACCCUGGACCCCUGAGUGCGAGUGGAGCUGUUCAGCGUGAAGUUGUGUGUGCGAGGAGCGUGGAGAGUGUGUGAGGACCUUGUGUUUCCCUACCCUGUGGACCAUAUUCCCCCCCACGUGUAUAUAGAGCACCUGGUGUGGUUAAUAAAGCUAAGUUAAUCUGUG